AGAGUUUGAUCCUGGCUCAGAUUGAAGGCUGGGGGAAUGCUUUACACAUGCAAGUCGAACGGCAGCACUGGGGCAACCCUGGUGGCGAGUGGCGAACGGGUGAGUAACACAUCGGAACGUGCCCAGUCGUGGGGGAUAACGUAGCGAAAGCUACGCUAAUACCGCAUACGAACUCUGGUUGAAAGCGGGGGACCUGUAAGGGCCUCGCGCGAUUGGAGCGGCCGAUGGCAGAUUAGGUAGUUGGUGGGGUAAAGGCUCACCAAGCCGACGAUCUGUAGCUGGUCUGAGAGGACGACCAGCCACACUGGGACUGAGACACGGCCCAGACUCCUACGGGAGGCAGCAGUGGGGAAUUUUGGACAAUGGGCGCAAGCCUGAUCCACCCAUUCCCGCGUGCGGAUGAAGGCCCUCGGGUUGGAAAACUGCUUUUGGAAGGAACGAAAAGCCCGCUUUCUAAUACAGAGCGGUCAUGGACGGUACCGUCAAAAUAAAGCACCGGCUAACUACGUUGCCAGCAGGCGGCGGUAAUACGUUAGGGUGGCAAGCGGUUAAUUCGGAAUUACUGGGGCGUAAAGCGGUGCGGCAGGCGGGUUAUGGUAAAGACACGGUGUGUAAAUUCCCGGGCUUAACGUUGGGAAACUGCAUUUUGUGAUCGGCAUGACUUAGAUGUACGGGUUAAAGCGGGAUGGGAAUUCCGCCGUUAAGCAAUGCAAAUUGCGUAGAAUGUCGCGGAGAGAAACCCCGAUUGGGCGAAGGGCUAUCCCCCCUGAGACCCUGUACUGGACCGGUUCAGUGCAGCAAAAACGCUGGGGGAGCAGAAAACAGGAAUUUAGAUAUCGCUGUGAUAGACUCCACGCCCCCCUAAACGAGAUAUGGUCCACGUGGGUGUGUGGGAGGUCUCACUGACUGCAGUACGAAGCUAACGCGUGAAGUGACGCCUGGGGAGUACGCCGCAAGUUGAACUCAAAGAUUGACGGGGACCCGCACAAGCGUGGAUGAUGUGUUUUAAUUCAAUGCAACGCGAAAAACCUUACCUACCCUUGACAUGUCUGGAAUUUUGCAGAGAUGUGAAAGUGCCCGAAAGGGAGCCAGAACACAGGUGCUGCAUGGCUGUCGUCAGCUCGUGUCGUGAGAUGCUUGGGUUAAGUCCCGCAACGAGCGCAACCCUUGUCAUUAGUUGCUACGAAAGGGCACUCUAAUGAGACUGCCGGUGACAAACCGGAGGAAGGUGGGGAUGACGUCAAGUCCUCAUGGCCCUUAUGGGUAGCAUUACACACGUCAUACAAUGGCUGGUACAGAGGGUUGCCAACCCGCGAGGGGGAGCCAAUCCCAUAAAACCAGUCGUAGUCCGGAUCGCAGUCUGCAACUCGACUGCGUGAAGUCGGAAUCGCUAGUAAUCGCGGAUCAGCAUGUCGCGGUGAAUACGUUCCCGGGUCUUGUACACACCGCCCGUCACACCAUGGGAGCGGGUUCUGCCAGAAGUAGUUAGCCUAACCGCAAGGAGGGCGAUUACCACGGCAGGGUUCGUGACUGGGGUGAAGUCGUAACAAGGUAACC
RNAcentral lists this ribosomal RNA (1557 nucleotides) under uncultured bacterium. RNAcentral's name for it is "bacterial SSU rRNA". It matches the Rfam family "Bacterial small subunit ribosomal RNA". The record is from RNAcentral.